UACGUAGGGUCCGAGCGUUGUCCGGAAUUAUUGGGCGUAAAGAGCUCGUAGGCGGUCUGUCACGUCGGCUGUGAAAACACGGGGCUCAACUCCGUGCCUGCAGUCGAUACGGGCAGACUAGAGUUCGGUAGGGGAGACUGGAAUUCCUGGUGUAGCGGUGAAAUGCGCAGAUAUCAGGAGGAACACCGGUGGCGAAGGCGGGUCUCUGGGCCGAAACUGACGCUAAGGAGCGAAAGCGUGGGGAGCGAACAGG
RNAcentral lists this ribosomal RNA (253 nucleotides) under uncultured bacterium. Its description in RNAcentral is "partial 16S ribosomal RNA". It matches the Rfam family "Bacterial small subunit ribosomal RNA", at positions 524 to 776 of the family's 1533-position model. The record is from RNAcentral.